UCUGACUCAAGCAUCAACAUUCUGACCACUAUACUUUAAGGAUUUACCUACUUUUCCAUACAUUGUUUUGUCCUUUUCCCAACUGGGUAUGUGGUAUGACCAGUGACACUAGCUCACGCUGUGGAAAUUCAGAAAGGAAUCCAGCGUACAAGCCAGCAACAACAGCAGUGUGCAGAUGCUGCUUAGCAGCAGACAAAUGACUGACGCAUGGAGAAUCCUGGUUGAAAAAGGCAUCACUGCCACAGGCUGCAGACAGAAUUACUCUCCCUGGGGAUCUCUUAGCACAGUGAGUAAUGAUCUGGUGACCCUGCAGGUCAGAGGGCUGACCUACCCAGGACAGGGACCAAGAGGCCAGGACAGGGAUGAUGGGGCAAAAGGUGUAGGUGACACUUCAAGCCCCUCAGCCUUUUGUUGGAGACACCACCUCCACCACUCCACUGCCAGCUCCUUUGCUGAGGGACAGCAACAACAUCUGCUAGCUCCGAGAUUGAUUAAUUGGCUGAUCAGACGCCCGCGGUGUAAACUGAUUGAUUGAUCAUCUUGAGGUUGGAGCUGCCUUUAUCUAGAGCCCUGGGGAGCGAACCUCUGGAGGUCCCCAGUCAUCUGUCAUGUCCAACACACAGGGGAAGACGAAGGAGAGAUGAAGAGCUGGAGGUUCAUUACCGAGACAUGGGGGGCAUGUAUGAGGGAAGUCUAAGCCAAGAUUGGAACAGGGGGCAUGCCGAGAGAACAAUGGGAACAUGGGGACAAAAGAGGCUGUGGAUGAAAAUAAGAGAGGAUACUGUGGUGCUUGUAGAGAAAGAAAGAUAAAAACAUACAUGAAGGAAGAGGGAGGAAGGAUUGUGGAUAAGCCAAGAACAACAUUGUUACAAUUUUGUCCCUAAACAGAUGCAAACAAUUAAGAGGGCUUGCUUGUCAUGAUAAAACAGAGGCAGAAACUACGGUUUAAAGACUCUCAACCAUGAUUUAAAAAUUCUCAUAUUUAGAAAAAUGUUCUUAGCUUAUUUAAUUGAAAGGGAUUACUACUUAUUGUGGUUAUUUGUUGCUUAUUUUUCAGGAUCCAGGAGAUUUUUGUUUUUUUUGGACAUAGGCUACAACCUCCCCUCAUUUAUAAUUCCUGACCACAUCCCUGUUUAACAGCGAGCAGUGAGAGUAAUGGGAUACAGGGAGAAGGUGGUGGCAGAUGAAAACAAGUGUGGAUAAUACUAGCACGCAUUCAGUCAGACACAUAAAGCAGAGGCGGAAAAUUCCUUUAUUUGACGGCAGAGGACACAGUGAAUGACCAGAGAGUGGAGGGAGGCGUAUUCCCUUUGGACAACAGAUGUCCCUGGGGAGCAAAGUGAAUAAAAGAGAGAGAGAGAGAGAAUUGGUGGAAGAGAGAAGAGAGGUGGAACAACCUAUAGCAGGAAGAAGUAGAAGGGAAGGGAAGACAGCAGCAGAAGAGAUGCAGGGCAGAAAAGGGACAGCCUCAGGAUGUGUUACUGACAUUGGACCUUAUGGAUGACUCCAGCUGAAUAUGCCUGGCCUGUCUAUGUGCACGUACAUGCCUGGAUCCAUCUGCAUGUUAAAACCAUCCUAAUGUAUGUCAGGUGGUCUUCCUGGGCCUGAUGAAGCCGGGAGGGGGCCACAGUCCACCUUCAGCUUCUGUCUAUCAAGUGCAUGGAGCAGAUUCAGGGUCACCUCUAAACCACUAACCUCUUUAGCUGAAUGUAUGCCUUCUCUUCUUUCCUCUAUGCCCUACUUACCUUCCGUCACCAACAACUAACUUUGGGAGGGACGGACAGAAAAGAGCCAUUUUGAUGUUUUCUUGAAGCUUCAUGGCCCUUUUCACCUG
Molecule: long non-coding RNA, 1834 nt
Organism: Thunnus maccoyii (southern bluefin tuna)
Lineage: Eukaryota; Metazoa; Chordata; Actinopteri; Scombriformes; Scombridae
Exons: 4
Source: RefSeq, a predicted model, not a curated record